This 400-nucleotide ribosomal RNA is filed under the name uncultured bacterium. RNAcentral's name for it is "bacterial SSU rRNA". It matches the Rfam family "Bacterial small subunit ribosomal RNA", at positions 356 to 773 of the family's 1533-position model. The record is from RNAcentral.
GGGGAAUAUUGCACAAUGGACGAAAGUCUGAUGCAGCAACGCCGCGUGGAGGAUGACACAUUUCGGUGCGUAAACUCCUUUUAUAUGAGAAGAUAAUGACGGUAUUAUAUGAAUAAGCACCGGCUAACUCCGUGCCAGCAGCCGCGGUAAUACGGGGGGUGCAAGCGUUACUCGGAAUCACUGGGCGUAAAGAGCAUGUAGGCGGAUUGAUAAGUUUGAAGUGAAAUCCUAUAGCUUAACUAUAGAACUGCUUUGAAAACUGUUAAUCUAGAAUGUGGGAGAGGUAGAUGGAAUUUCUGGUGUAGGGGUAAAAUCCGUAGAGAUCAGAAGGAAUACCGAUUGCGAAGGCGAUCUACUGGAACAUUAUUGACGCUGAGAUGCGAAAGCGUGGGGAGCAAAC